Molecule: non-coding RNA, 461 nt
Organism: Perca fluviatilis (European perch)
Lineage: Eukaryota; Metazoa; Chordata; Actinopteri; Perciformes; Percidae
Source: the annotation of a RefSeq genome assembly
GUCAGUUUCAACAUAAACCAUGUUCUCUGAAGCUCUGCUGCUGCUGUUGGCAGCUGGAUGUGUGAAGUGUGAACAGUUGACCCAGCCAGCCUCUGUGACUGUGCAGCCAGGUCAACGUCUGACCAUCACCUGUCAGGUCUCUUAUUCUGUUGGUAGCUAUGCUACAGCUUGGAUCAGACAGCCUGCAGGGAAAGGACUGGAGUGGAUUGGAUGGAAAUAUACUGGAGGUUCACACUACAAAGAUUCCCUGAAGAACAAGUUCAGUAUCGACUUAGAGACUUCCAGCAAGACAGUGACUCUAAAUGGACAGAAUGUGCAGCCUGAAGAACUGGUGUAUUACUGUGCCAGAGAGCCACAGUAACACAAACCAUCAGUAGACCUGAACAAAAACCCCUCAGAGCCUGAACACUUGUAACAUGAAGCCACCAGAGGAGGAGCCCUCAGACCACUAAUGGUUUCAA